GUCGAUUCCGAAACGUACGGCAACUGGGCGUUGGGCGCGACGUGGGGGCUGUUGCGGCGCUGAGGCAGAUGUGGCUAGGGUUUUCCUCUUUUGUUUUUUUUGUUUUGCUGUAUCGGGUUCGGGUUUGUAUUUGUUUGUUGGUUUGGGCUGUUUUUUUGUUUUGUUUGGACCCAGGCCGAUUGGGCCUUAUUACAGCUGCCCCUCUUUGCUCAUUGUCGUGUAACAGGAAUAGAGCAAAGACUACAAGGCCCAAUUAUGCCUGGUCUUAUUGAGCCUCGACUUCUUCAGUGCUUUUCUUCUUCAAGUAGCCUCAUUCCUUCCUACUGCAUCUUCAGAGGUAUAGGAACUGGUGCUUU
RNAcentral lists this long non-coding RNA (356 nucleotides) under Gossypium raimondii (Peruvian cotton). RNAcentral's name for it is "long non-coding RNA (GRAI_LNC002324)". Lineage: Eukaryota; Viridiplantae; Streptophyta; Magnoliopsida; Malvales; Malvaceae. The record is from RNAcentral.